GGUUAAGCGACUAAGCGUACACGGUGGAUGCCCUGGCAGUCAGAGGCGAUGAAGGACGUGCUAAUCUGCGAUAAGCGCCGGUAAGGUGAUAUGAACCGUUAUAACCGGCGAUCCGAAUGGGGAAACCCAGUGUGAUUCGUCACACUAUCAUUAACUGAAUCCAUAGGUUAAUGAGGCGAACCGGGGGAACUGAAACAUCUAAGUACCCCGAGGAAAAGAAAUCAACCGAGAUUCCCCCAGUAGCGGCGAGCGAACGGGGAGGAGCCCAGAGCCUGAAUCAGCAUGUGUGUUAGUGGAAGCGUCUGGAAAGGCGCGCGAUACAGGGUGACAGCCCCGUACACAAAAGCGCA
RNAcentral lists this ribosomal RNA (350 nucleotides) under Salmonella enterica subsp. enterica serovar Senftenberg str. NC_MB012510-0038. Its description in RNAcentral is "bacterial LSU rRNA". It matches the Rfam family "Bacterial large subunit ribosomal RNA", at positions 1 to 389 of the family's 2925-position model. The record is from RNAcentral. Lineage: Bacteria; Pseudomonadati; Pseudomonadota; Gammaproteobacteria; Enterobacterales; Enterobacteriaceae.